RNAcentral lists this long non-coding RNA (1327 nucleotides) under Numida meleagris (helmeted guineafowl). RNAcentral's name for it is "lncRNA (ENSNMEG00000008116.1)". The record is from RNAcentral. Lineage: Eukaryota; Metazoa; Chordata; Aves; Galliformes; Numididae.
AUGCGCGGUGCCAUCAGCCCGGUGCAGCGCAGCAGAGGGGAUGCCCACGGUGCGACCCAUCGGCCCCAGCAGCUUGAUGACUGCAAGAAUGCCCCAAUUUCCUCAUUCCAAAAAGCCCUCGCUGCCAAGGCUCAGGUGGAGCGGACACGCAUGGUACUGCAGCUCCAGGGGGUGGCAGGAACAGAGCAAGGAUUUCAAUGGCUGGGGCAUGGAGAGAAGGAUUAUUGCGAGCAGAUGAGCCGGCAACCCAACGAAAGUGCAGAAUUAGAGUGUUUUAAUGAGGCUUUCAGGGUGAGCAGCAACCUGGUGGCAUCUCCUCUGGAGGAGAGCAGUGAUUUGAAGGGAAGCAAAGCAAAGGCUGGAGAUGUUCAGCACCAAGUCCCUGCCCUCGAGGUGCCCCUGCCCUGGGUCUGUGCCCCCAGCAUUGCUGCUGUGCGGGGUUUGUGGAUGGGAACCACGCAGCGGUGCAGCCAUGGAGCAGCCGUGUGGGAGAACACUCUGCUCCUCUCCUGGAGCCCAUUGCGACAGCUGCAGAGCUCCAUCCCCAGAGGAGACACGCGGCAAUCCAGCUCCCAUCUGCGCGCGGCCCUGGGCCCCAUGAAGCUGUCUGUGUGCGGGGGGAGUGGGGCGGCUGCAAUGCGCACAAGGUGCUCUCGUCAUGAAAGCAUCUUUUGAUGAUGUUAUUGCAGCUAUCAAAAUAUUGCAGAGUUCAGAGCAUUCCGCAGGGAUCCCCGCGCUCUUCAAAGGCCGGAGGACCACGGCUGGGGAAAAAGAAGCCUUUAAUUACAUCGGCUUCCACGCUUGUUUCUGCAGUGGAGAUCCUUUAAAAAAAGAAAAAAUAGUUUUAAUGAGAAGAAACACAUAUGGCCCCAUUGUUCAAACACGGAGAGAUACAGCUGAUUUUUUUUUAAUAGAUAGCAAGUUCCUUUGCAUCUCCUGGACCUCAGACCGAGGGGCUCUGCGCUGAGCAGCCCCAGCAGCGGGGCUCUCCGUGGGGCAGAGCAGCUCCAUCCCAGCCCCACCCCACCCAUCACCCCCCCGUUCCCAUCGCCCUCACGCUCUUCAGCAGUGCUCUCCUCCUCCCCUGCUCCUUCCAACCGCGCAGAGCUUCACGCAGUGGGAUUGCAGCAGGGUGAUCCUCCACGAGCACACUCAUUUCUCUCAGAUGUUCAUUUGGAUCCGAAUGGAAAAGCUCAUUUUUCCCACUAUGUAAAUAGCAGCGCCGCGUAUGACACCACGGAAAGCACGGGACAGCCCCACAUUUGAGAGAACAUGUUGAGCAUAUUCUUCUAAUAAAUAAUCCUAUCUAGCAAAUUUAAUUAACGGG